GCCGGGCACGGUGGCACGUGCCUGUAGUCCCAGCUAUUCAGGAGGCUGAGGCUGGAGGAUCUCUUGAGUCCAGGAAUUCUGGGCUGUAGUGCGCUAUGCCGAUCGGGGACGAUCAGAUGUCCACUCUAAGCUCGGCAUCAAUAUGGUGACCUCCCGGGAGCAGGGGACCACCAGGUUGCCUAAGGAGGGGUGAACCGGCCCAGGUCGGAAACAGAGCAGGUCAAAACUCCCGUGCUGAUCAGUAGUGGGAUUGUGCCUGUGAAAAGCCACUGCAUUCCCACCUGGGCAACAUAGCGAGACCCUGUCUCU
RNAcentral lists this signal recognition particle RNA (309 nucleotides) under Cebus imitator (Panamanian white-faced capuchin). RNAcentral describes it as "Metazoan signal recognition particle RNA (ENSCCAG00000009507.1)". It matches the Rfam family "Metazoan signal recognition particle RNA". Rfam says of the family: The signal recognition particle (SRP) is a universally conserved ribonucleoprotein. It is involved in the co-translational targeting of proteins to membranes. Lineage: Eukaryota; Metazoa; Chordata; Mammalia; Primates; Cebidae. The record is from RNAcentral.